AUUGAACGCUGGCGGCAGGCCUAACACAUGCAAGUCGAACGAGUGGCGGACGGGUGAGUAAUGUCUGGGAAACUGCCCGAUGGAGGGGGAUAACUACUGGAAACGGUAGCUAAUACCGCAUACCAUCGGAUGUGCCCAGCUGGGAUUAGCUUGUUGGUUGGGUAACGGCUCACCAAGGCGACGAUCCCUAGCUGGUCUGAGAGGAUGACCAGCCACACUGGAAUGGAGACACGGUCCAGACUCCUACGGGAGGAAGCAGUGGGGAAUAUUGCACAAUGGGCGCAAGCCUGAUGCAGCAAUGCCGCGUGUAUGAAGAAGGCCUUCGGGUUGUAAAGUACUUUCAGCGGGGAGGCGUUACCCGCAGAAGAAGCACCGGCUAACUCCGUGCCAGCAGCCGCGGUAAUAC
RNAcentral lists this ribosomal RNA (406 nucleotides) under uncultured bacterium. Its description in RNAcentral is "partial 16S ribosomal RNA". It matches the Rfam family "Bacterial small subunit ribosomal RNA", at positions 30 to 526 of the family's 1533-position model. The record is from RNAcentral.